AUUUGAUAUCAAGUGAUCAGUGCCCCUUUGUCUCCCAACAAAAUCAAUCAUCUCCAUUGUUUCAAAAUGAGAGUCCAUUGGUUCCCAAGAGUACAAGGUCACCUCCAUUGGCUUUUCAUAACAAUCUUCACACAGAGGCCAAUAUUCCUCCUCUUGGUGGAGCUCAACGGCCUUCGCUCCCUCCUCAUAUGCGGGGAAACUCAACCCAAUCGUUUCAAAACCUUCCGAUCCGUUUACCUCACCAAAGGCUGCCCUCGAUUCCAACAAAUUAUGACCCUGGAAGACAGAUCGCAGUGAAGCAUGCAGAUCAAGUCUCAAAAAGAACAAGGUCCCCCCCUCAUUCACCUCCUAACGUGGCUUCUUUUGAGAAAUCAGCUCUUGGUCUACGUGAA
RNAcentral lists this unclassified non-coding RNA (392 nucleotides) under Hevea brasiliensis (rubber tree). Lineage: Eukaryota; Viridiplantae; Streptophyta; Magnoliopsida; Malpighiales; Euphorbiaceae. The record is from RNAcentral.